Cydia amplana is the source of this 383-nucleotide long non-coding RNA. RefSeq lists it as uncharacterized. The record is from RefSeq and is a predicted model, not a curated record. The transcript is spliced from 2 exons. Lineage: Eukaryota; Metazoa; Arthropoda; Insecta; Lepidoptera; Tortricidae.
GCCGUGUGCCUGCUAUACGGCCACAAUUCAAAAAAUUUAAUUUUCUGGAUUAUUGCAGAUUCGUAUUCAAAAUUGUUCAAUUUACGACCUUAUUUCGAGAGCCAUAGCAAAAAAGGUCUUUAAGAGCCUUUUUCUCACAAGUGGCCUUAUGGAUUUGACCAUAAAUUGUCAGACGAUUCCCUGCAAUACAGCCACUUGCCAGUCUGCCGUCUGGCGUUCGCACGUGAACUGACGGCCCUUUUGAGUUGUGGCUAUAUAGCACACGUUUUAAAUUAAGCUUUUGAGUUGCGUCCUAGAAAAUAAUAAUUACUAUAGUUACACAUAGUAUCGCGUACAGUGAUCUUGUUCCUAUCAAAGUUGAUAAAAUAAAGGGAUUUUAACUA